UGGCGCCAAGCUUCUGGCAUUCUCUAUGACAAGAGAGUGCCACAAAAGCUAAAAGGCAAGUUCUACAGGACGGCGGUUCGACCAGCAAUGUUGUAUGGCGUGGAGUGUUGGCCGACUAAAAGGCGACAUGUUCAACAGUUAGGUGUGGCGGAGAUGCGUAUGUUGAGAUGGAUGUGUGGCCACACGAGGAAGGAUCGAGUCCGGAAUGAUGAUAUACGAGAUAGAGUUGGGGUAGCACCAAUUGAGGAGAAGCUUGUUCAACAUCGUUUGAGAUGGUUUGGGCAUAUUCAACGCAGGCCUCCAGAAGCUCCAGUGCAUAGCGGGUGGCUA
Molecule: ribosomal RNA, 330 nt
Filed under: Triticum aestivum (bread wheat)
Lineage: Eukaryota; Viridiplantae; Streptophyta; Magnoliopsida; Poales; Poaceae
Description: partial small subunit ribosomal RNA
Source: RNAcentral